This 73-nucleotide transfer RNA is filed under the name Bos taurus (domestic cattle). It matches the Rfam family "tRNA". Rfam says of the family: Transfer RNA (tRNA) molecules are approximately 80 nucleotides in length. Their secondary structure includes four short double-helical elements and three loops (D, anti-codon, and T loops). The record is from Rfam by way of RNAcentral. RNAcentral also lists the same sequence under 2 other names. Lineage: Eukaryota; Metazoa; Chordata; Mammalia; Artiodactyla; Bovidae.
UCCCUGGCAGUCCAGUGGUUAGGACUCUGCGUUCUCACUGCCAAGGGCCAGGGUUCGAUCCCUAGUCAGGGAG